RNAcentral lists this microRNA precursor (103 nucleotides) under Marmota monax (woodchuck). Lineage: Eukaryota; Metazoa; Chordata; Mammalia; Rodentia; Sciuridae. The record is from RNAcentral.
GGUAUAAUUGUUGGGUUGUAUGGUAAGGACCUGCUUUGUUUUAUAAGAAACAGCCAAACAUUUUUUCCAGAGUAGCUUUUCUAUUUUACAACCCACCAGCAAU